CUGGUAGCUCAGUUGGUAAAGAAUCUGCCUGCAAUGCAGAAGACCCCAGUUUGAUUUCUGGGUCAG
This 66-nucleotide transfer RNA is filed under the name Bos taurus (domestic cattle). It matches the Rfam family "tRNA". Rfam says of the family: Transfer RNA (tRNA) molecules are approximately 80 nucleotides in length. Their secondary structure includes four short double-helical elements and three loops (D, anti-codon, and T loops). The record is from Rfam by way of RNAcentral. RNAcentral also lists the same sequence under 5 other names. Lineage: Eukaryota; Metazoa; Chordata; Mammalia; Artiodactyla; Bovidae.